GCAAUGGACGAAAGUCUGACGGAGCAACGCCGCGUGAGUGAUGAAGGUUUUCGGAUCGUAAAGCUCYGUUGUUAGAGAAGAACAAGUACCGUUCGAAUAGGGCGGUACCUUGACGGUACCUAACCAGAAAGCCACGGCUAACUACGUGCCAGCAGCCGCGGUAAUACGUAGGUGGCAAGCGUUGUCCGGAAUUAUUGGGCGUAAAGGGCUCGCAGGCGGUUUCUUAAGUCUGAUGUGAAAGCCCCCGGCUCAACCGGGGAGAGUCAUUGGAAACUGGGGAACUUGAGUGCAGAAGAGGAGAGUGGAAUUCCACGUGUAGCGGUGAAAUGCGUAGAGAUGUGGAGGAACACCAGUGGCGAAGGCGACUCUCUGGUCUGUAACUGACGCUGAGGAGCGAAAGCGUGGGGAGCGAACAGGAUUAGAUACCCUGGUAGUCCACGCCGUAAACGAUGAGUGCUAAGUGUUAGGGGGUUUCCGCCCCUUAGUGCUGCAGCUAACGCAUUAAGCACUCCGCCUGGGGAGUACGGUCGCAAGACUGAAACUCAAAGGAAUUGACGGGGGCCCGCACAAGCGGUGGAGCAUGUGGUUUAAUUCGAAGCAACGCGAAGAACCUUACCAGGUCUUGACAUCCUCUGACAAUCCUAGAGAUAGGACGUCCCCUUCGGGGGCAGAGUGACAGGUGGUGCAUGGUUGUCGUCAGCUCGUGUCGUGAGAUGUUGGGUUAAGUCCCGCAACGAGCGCAACCCUUGAUCUUAGUUGCCAGCAUUCAGUUGGGCACUCUAAGGUGACUGCCGGUGACAAACCGGAGGAAGGUGGGGAUGACGUCAAAUCAUCAUGCCCCUUAUGACCUGGGCUACACACGUGCUACAAUGGACAGAACAAAGGGCAGCGAAACCGCGAGGUUAAGCCAAUCCCACAAAUCUG
Molecule: ribosomal RNA, 924 nt
Filed under: Bacillus sp. (in: firmicutes)
Lineage: Bacteria; Bacillati; Bacillota; Bacilli; Caryophanales; Bacillaceae
Description: bacterial SSU rRNA
Rfam family: Bacterial small subunit ribosomal RNA
Source: RNAcentral